GAUGAAGAACGAAGCGAAAUGCGAUAAGUAAUGUGAAUUGCAGAAUUCAGUGAAUCAUCGAGUCUUUGAACGCACAUCGCGCCCCCUGGUAUUCCGGGGGGCAUGCCUGUCCGAGCGUCAUUGCUGCCCUCAAGCACGGCUUGUGUGUUGGGCUCCGCCCCCCUCCCGGGGGGCGGGCCCGAAAGGCAGCGGCGGCACCGCGUCCGGUCCUCGAGCGUAUGGGGCUUUGUCACCCGCUCUGUAGGCCCGGCCGGCGCCCGCCGGCGACCCCAAUCAAUCUUUCCAGGUUGACCUCGGAUCAGGUAGGGAUACCCGCUGAACUUAAGCAUAUCAAUAAGCGGAGGA
This 345-nucleotide unclassified non-coding RNA is filed under the name soil metagenome. Its description in RNAcentral is "partial contains 5.8S ribosomal RNA, internal transcribed spacer 2, and large subunit ribosomal RNA". The stretch from base 1 to 120 matches the Rfam family "5.8S ribosomal RNA", at positions 35 to 154 of the family's 154-position model. The record is from RNAcentral.